GUGCUUGCUUCAGCAUUGCAUACACUAAAAUUGGAACCACACAGAGAACAUCAGCUUGCCCUCUGUGCAAGGAUGACAUGCAAAUUCGUGAAGCAGUUCAUAGUUUU
Molecule: small nuclear RNA, 107 nt
Organism: Fukomys damarensis (Damara mole-rat)
Lineage: Eukaryota; Metazoa; Chordata; Mammalia; Rodentia; Bathyergidae
Source: Ensembl